CCUUCCCCGGCGCGCGUAGUUGUUGCGGCCCAGGAUAACAUGGCUGCCGCAGUUCGGCGUCCGAGUCACGUUUUGCUGUUUACGCUGCCGAGUUCCGUGUCUCCCGGGGUGGGAGGCUUAGGCUCCACAUGCUGCCGCUGCCCUCUUGGAGCUAAAAGAUAUCUACUUACAGAUAAUGUUGUGAAAUUAAAAGAAUUUCAGCAUAAGAAGGUGGUUAUUGCAAAUCAUCUUCCUGGUACUAAAGCAACCUACCUGAGAAACAUGAAAGAAAAAUUGGCCCAGAAUAAGCUCAUCUUGAAGGACGAGUUGAAAACCUUCCUUCAUUUGUGUGAUACCCGGGAUGAUGUGGAACUGGCUAAAAAUGUCAUUUACAGGUACCAUACAGAGAACAGAAAUGUCACUUUGGGAGAGUAUAAAUUUGGACCACUUUUCAUGAGGUUGUGCUACGAGUUGGAUCUUGAGGAAUCUGCAUUGGAACUCAUCAAAGACCAGCAUUUACGAGGUUUCUUCUCAGACACCACGUCGUUCAAUAUUUUGAUGGAUAUGUUAUUUAUGAAAGGCAAAUAUACAAGUGCGCUGGAAGUGCUGAUAGAGAUGAAAAACCAAGAUGUGAAAUUCAACAAAGAAACCUAUGUCCUUGCUUUUGCAAUUUGCUACAAACUGAAUAGCCCUGAAUCUUUGAAAAUCUGUACUACAUUAAGAGAAGAAGCCCUAAUCAAAGGAGAAGUCCUCUCCAGGAGAGCAUCCUGUUUUGCUGUGGCACUAGCUCUGAAUCAGAACCAGGUGGCGAAAGCUAUAUCAAUUUUUUCUCAAAUCAUGAAGCCAGAAAGCAUUAUCUGCACUAAUUUAAAUAUUUUGAUUCAUAUCCAGUCAAAUAUGUUGAAAACCCUGAUAAAGAUAUUAAAGGAUGCUGCAGACGGAAAUUUAUCAAAAUUUGUGAAAAGACAGGAGUUCUCAGAAGAAGUGGUGCAAAACAUCUGGAUACAUAGGGGGAAACAAAGAUAACCAGCACACCAUUGGUACUAGCAAAUCUCCUGACUUCAUUUUGCAGAUUCUGAGACAAAUAGUUGAUGGGAGUCCCAUGUCGUUGAGUUAAAGUUUUGGCAGGCCAUCAGAUUGGCAACAAAUAAAUUGCAUCCAGGCUGCUAAGGGGGACUGAAAAAUGAUUUCAGACAACAUGCAUCUAUUGAAUGUUUGAAAAAGAACCCGAGGAGAGAGAGUCUCUUAGGUAACUAUGCAUUCUAAUUUCUAGGUCUUAUUACAAGGGCACUUUGUAUCUAUACUAAUUAUCUCCUUUUGUCAUUAUUAUUCUUCAAACUAGAUGGACGUAGGCUUGAAUACCAUCCUAUAGAGCUACUAGUUUUAUGAUUCUGGUCAAUUUACUUACCCUCCCCUUGUCUGUUCUCUGGUUAUUCUUUUUAUUUAAAAUAAGUAGGUAGGACCUGGGAAAAAACAGGUCAGUUGCCCAGUGAAAGUUAUUGCCUUUCAUUUCCCCUCUCCCCACUUCCCAACAUGUACCAUAGCAUCAGCUCCGGAGAGUAUUUGUGCAGUUGAUAAUCUCCUUUUGGUCUAGAAUUAGCAUGCAUUUUCUUACAGUUACACACUCUGGGGUAAUGUCAGUUCGAAGGAAACGUUUGGUCCCUGUAUGGUCCAGUGGAGUAUCGUCUAAGAGAGCUACUUGUUAGCUGUCAAGGGGCCUUUCAAAGUGGCAUUUAUUCCGUGGGAAUUCACGGUGGUCCAAGACCUCAUCUUCAGCCUUGCAGUCAUGGAACCUGAUUUGUCCUAUACUGCUGGAGGGUCUCUCCUUCCCAGGAACUCUGUGUUAACUGUAGUCACAGAGAUUGAUACAUACAAACCGGAAUGCUGAUUCUUUAGCUUACAGUGAAAACUAUACCAGUGGUGGUGAUUGUGGUGGUGAUGCUAGUGGAGAAGGGCGGACAAUUGACUCGAGGUACAAAACAAGGGAAAUUGGCUCCACAAUGUCAGUUUUUAGCAGGCCCUGACAGCGUCCUCCCUCCUCUCACAACUAGAGCUUGCUGAGGUGGCCACCUCCCGCUUCUCGUGUUCUAGAUUCCAUUUUCUAUGUUCUAGUCCAUGCCUUUCUGUUCAUGCAUCUUUCUCCAACUAAAGCACAAUAACAUUCCAGUCCUGUCAUUGAGUUCUCUGGGGGUGAAAUCCUGGGUGCCCUCUACUCUCAAGUCACGCAGUUAGACUCCGUGGUCUACUCCUUACUACAUCAGAAUGCAUUUUCCUCUGGCCGAUGUUUCCUUCUUUAUGAGGGAAGAUCAAACAUUACAGUGGCCUGGACUUUCUUUUUUAUUUAUUAUUUAUUUUUAUUUUUUUUAAUAUGAAAUUUAUUGUCAAAUUGGUUUCCAUACAACACCCAGUGCUCCUCCCAACAGGUGCCCUCCUCAGUGCCCAUCAUCCAUCCUUCCCUCCCUCCCACUCCCCAUCAACCCUCAGUUUAUUGUCAGGUUUCACUCCCCCUUCACUCACCCCCUCCCCUCCUCACCCUCCAGGAAGAUAGAGUGGCUUCUCUACAUGGUAACUUUGGGGGACAAAUGGGUAUACAAGGGCAGCUCCUUUUUUUCUCUUUGGCAGUAGACCUGCUCACAGAGAGUGGGAUUUCUCCUGUGUGCCAAAGGUCAUGCUUCCCAUGUGAGAGGUCCAGCACUGCCUGAGUGGGAAAGUCUACCUCCUUAUGGGGUUCAGUAUUAGGGAGCCCCUCCCAAAGAUAAAAGCCUUGUUACCUGAUGUAGGUUUCUUCGUGAAAAAGGUGACCCCCCCAUCUAUGUUUCUUAUUUCUCAGUUGUUUCAGAAGUUGAGCAGGGGCUAAAUAAUGCUAUUUAUUAGGCCCUAUCAAGCAUCCUGUGGCUGUUAGAUGUUCACCACAGCCGCUGCCACUUCUUGCAGCACUACGCUGAUCAACUGUCCUCAUUCAUGUGGGAGGUCGGGCUUCAGGUGCUAAGACUGGGACAGUCCCAGGCAAACCAGCAUGAUUGGUUACCCUACGGGGCCCACAGGAAGAAUGUAUUUCCCACUCUCUCUUGCAGUGGGUUGAAACCAUGGAAUGUGGGUGUUAGUGAGGCCCUGUUGUAUUUUCCAUUACCCUCUAUGCCCUCUUUCUUUUUUAUCUGAAUGCCUGAAGGUAAAAGACACCAAGGUGGUGGGGCCAUUCAAUGGAAGAAGCCUAGGCCCUUGAAUCAACACUUGGAGGAAAGCCUCACAAUCCAUAUCAGAUGUGAUGAGAGUGAUAAAUAAAGUCUUAAUUGUGUUAA
Neofelis nebulosa (Clouded leopard) is the source of this 3278-nucleotide RNA transcript. It is a transcript of the gene named pentatricopeptide repeat domain 2, with no coding region annotated. The transcript is spliced from 12 exons. The record is from RefSeq and is a predicted model, not a curated record. NCBI's taxonomy places the organism in Eukaryota, Metazoa, Chordata, Mammalia, Carnivora, Felidae.